This 728-nucleotide ribosomal RNA is filed under the name uncultured bacterium. RNAcentral's name for it is "bacterial SSU rRNA". It matches the Rfam family "Bacterial small subunit ribosomal RNA", at positions 1 to 706 of the family's 1533-position model. The record is from RNAcentral.
AAUUCGAUUAGAGUUUGAUCCUGGCUCAGAUUGAACGCUGGCGGCGUGCUUAACACAUGCAAGUCGUGCGAGAAAGGUUCCUUCGGGGACUGAGUAGAGCGGCGCACGGGUGAGUAACGCGUGGGUGACCUACCCAGGAGACCGGGAUAACAGUGGGAAACUGCUGCUAAUACCGGGUACGCUUCAUAUUUCACGUAUGGGGGAAAGGCGGCCUCUGCUUGCAAGCUGCCACUCUUGGAUGGGCCCGCGUCUCAUUAGCUUGUUGGUAGGGUAACGGCCUACCAAGGCGACGAUGAGUAGCUGGUCUGAGAGGAUGAUCAGCCACACUGGGACUGGAACACGGCCCAGACUCCUACGGGAGGCAGCAGUGGGGAAUAUUGCGCAAUGGGCGAAAGCCUGACGCAGCGACGCCGCGUGAGGGAAGAAGGCCUUCGGGUCGUAAACCUCUGUCAGGAGGGAAGAAACCAUGGGAGUCGAAUAGGCUCUCGUGCUGACGGUACCUCCGGAGGAAGCACCGGCUAACUCCGUGCCAGCAGCCGCGGUAAUACGGAGGGUGCAAGCGUUAAUCGGAAUCACUGGGCGUAAAGCGCACGUAGGCGGUGCCGUAAGUCGGAUGUGAAAGCCCUCGGCUCAACCGGGGAACUGCAUUCGAUACUGCGGUGCUUGAGUGUCGGAGAGGGUGGCGGAAUUCCAGGUGUAGGAGUGAAAUCCGUAGAUAUCUGGAGGAA